GGUCAGCGAAUGGAUGGAUUAUCCAUUCACGGUACAUAAUGAAAGACUUGACUGAGUUAGAAGAAACUGAGCGACUCUUCAGAGUGAAGAUGUUAUGAUGCAGUUAUGUCAAAGCACUCAUUUCGGCUGGCCAGAUUGGAACAGACCUGAAUGGGAAGAUGGCAGAGCUAAGACUGGCAAUGUCCAAGAAAAAUAUUAACUAAAAAUGAGUGUUUUUCACCAGUGAGUGAGUUUGGGAAUGUUUUAAAUGUGCCUAGAAGUUUGAAAAUGUAAUACUGAGGGAAAAAAGUGAGCGCUUUGAAAAGGCUUUAAAAAGAAAAUAAAGUCUGAUGUUGAUGUUAAAUGAAGUUAAAGUUUUUACUU
Molecule: non-coding RNA, 363 nt
Organism: Paramisgurnus dabryanus
Lineage: Eukaryota; Metazoa; Chordata; Actinopteri; Cypriniformes; Cobitidae
Source: RefSeq, a predicted model, not a curated record